AAAGGAUGUGGAGUUGCACAGACAACCAGGAUGUUGGCUUAGAAGCAGCCACCAUUGAAAGAGUGCGUAAUAGCUCACUGGUCGAGUGACUCUGCGCCGAAAAUGUAACGGGGCUAAACACACCACCGAAGCUAUGGCUUGGAUCGACUUCACUGCUUCUUUGAGGCGGUGUUUACCACAAGGACAUUUUUGUCAGACAAGAGAAACAAUCUUGAAUGACCAAAUGCUUCCCAGGGGAUAAACACAGGGCUUCGAAGCUGGAGUGAAGUCGAUCCAGGGGUAGGGGAGCGUUGUAUAAGGGUUGAAGGUGUACCGUAAGGAGCGCUGGACAUUAUACAAGUGAGAAUGCCGGUAUGAGUAACGAAAAGAUCAGUGAGAAUCUGAUCCGCCGAAAGCCUAAGGGUUCCUGAGGAAG
RNAcentral lists this ribosomal RNA (415 nucleotides) under Paenibacillus xylanilyticus. RNAcentral's name for it is "partial 23S ribosomal RNA". It matches the Rfam family "Bacterial large subunit ribosomal RNA", at positions 1068 to 1363 of the family's 2925-position model. Lineage: Bacteria; Bacillati; Bacillota; Bacilli; Caryophanales; Paenibacillaceae. The record is from RNAcentral.